Molecule: ribosomal RNA, 694 nt
Filed under: uncultured Pseudomonadota bacterium
Lineage: Bacteria; Pseudomonadati; Pseudomonadota
Description: bacterial SSU rRNA
Rfam family: Bacterial small subunit ribosomal RNA
Source: RNAcentral
CGCGCGGGCGGUAGCAAUACCGUUAGCGGCGGACGGGUGAGGAACACAUAGGAAUUUGCCUUUAGGUGGGGGAUAGCCCAGGGAAACUUGGAGUAAUACCGCAUGAUGUCGCAAGACCAAAGCAGGGGAUCGCAAGACCUUGCGCCUUUAGAGGAGCCUAUGUCUGAUUAGCUAGUUGGUAGGGUAAUGGCCUACCAAGGCGACGAUCAGUAACUGGUCUGAGAGGACGAUCAGUCACACUGGAACUGAGACACGGUCCAGACUCCUACGGGAGGCAGCAGUGGGGAAUAUUGGACAAUGGGCGCAAGCCUGAUCCAGCAAUGCCGCGUGUGUGAAGAAGGCCUUCGGGUUGUAAAGCACUUUAGGCCGGGAAGAAAAAAUCAGGGCUAAUAUCCUUGAUCUUGACGGUACCGGAAGAAUAAGCACCGGCUAACUCUGUGCCAGCAGCCGCGGUAAUACAGAGGGUGCGAGCGUUAAUCGGAUUUACUGGGCGUAAAGCGUGUGUAGGUGGUUGUUCAAGUCGGUUGUGAAAUCCCUGGGCUUAACCUGGGAACUGCUUCCGAGACUGAGCGACUAGAGUACGGUAGAGGGCGGUGGAAUUUCCGGUGUAGCGGUGAGAUGCGUAGAUAUCGGAAGGAACACCAAUGGGCGAAGGCAGCCGCCUGGGCCUGUACUGAACACUGAGACACGAAAG